AGGCGCGAGGUCUGGGACUUACGUUCCCAAAUGGCUGCUGUCUGCUUAAGGAAGGUUGGCGGGCGGUUUACCCUCUCUUUCCUCACGCCUUGGGUAGGCGGACACUUCCGCCCUACCCCGACUUCCCAGCACACCCCGCGCCGUCUCCCUGGCGACGGGGCAAACAGAGACGGUCGCUGGGGGUCUGGCGCGUUCCCUAGGCUGAGACGUUCCUAGCUGUGGCAGGAGAGGGCUGCCCGGCGCCCCGCUCCUCCCCUCGCGAUCGGGAAAGGCAGUGUCCAAUGCUGCUUGGAUGAAUCUUUCUGUAAGUGAAUGAAGCAGUUUCGUCUUGUUUGGAGUGAUGCAGAAAUUCCGAGAGACUGCCAAAUGUGUGAGCGGCUCGGCGGCUGUUUCCACUUACCCAGCGGCCUUGAUUGCAAGAAGAUAUGCGCUUCAACAGAAGCUUGGCAGUGGAAGUUUUGGAACUGUCUAUCUGGUUGCAGACAAGAAAGCCACCCAAGGAGAGGAACUAAAGGUAUUAAAGGAAAUCUCUGUUGGCGAAGUAAAUCCAAACGAGACUGUGCAGGCCAGUCUGGAAGCUCAGCUUCUCUCCAAGCUGGAGCACCCAGCCAUUGUCAAGUUCUAUGCAAGCUUUGUGGACCAAGGGAACUUCUGCAUCAUCACAGAGUACUGUGAGGGAGGAGAUCUGGACUACAAAAUUCAAGAAUAUAAAGAAGCUGGAAAUAUCUUUCCAGAAAAUCAAAUAAUGGAAUGGUUUAUCCAGCUGUUGCUGGGAGUUGACUACAUGCACGAAAGGAGGAUACUUCAUCGAGACUUGAAGUCAAAGAAUAUAUUUCUGAAAAACAAUCGACUUAAAAUUGGGGAUUUUGGAGUUUCUCGGCUUCUCGUGGGCUCCUGUGACCUGGCCACCACUCUCACUGGAACUCCCCAUUACAUGAGUCCUGAGGCUCUGAAACACCAAGGCUAUGACACCAAGUCGGACAUCUGGUCGCUGGCAUGCAUUUUAUAUGAGAUGUGCUGCAUGAGUCACGCAUUCACUGGCUCCAAUUUCUUGUCCAUUGUCUUAAAAAUCGUUGAGGGUGACACACCUUCCCUCCCCGAGAGACAUCCAAGAGAACUAAAUGCCAUUAUGGAAAGCAUGUUGAACAAGAAUCCAUCUCUGAGACCAUCUGCUAUAGAAAUUUUGAAAAUCCCCUAUAUUGAUGAGCAACUACAGCACCUAAUGUGUAGAUAUUCAGAGAUGGUUCCAGUAGAUAAGAAUCUGGAUCGUCAGAAGGAGACUGCUCGUAUAAUUAAUGCUGUAAAGACUGUGGAAGGAAAAUGUGAAGAAAACACCAAACGAAGGCAAGAACUGAGAUCUCAGAACUUUGAGCAGCUGAGCAGUGAUGUGCCCCGUGACUUCAAUCAACCGACUUCAGAGGGCCUGCCUGUGUCUCAGCUUCUUCCAAAGACUUCCCCGGGCCAUGCUGACCGUGAGUCAGGCAUAGAGGACACCAGAGCUGACCUUGGGCAUCACGUAAUCCCAGAAGACCCGUUUGUGGCUGAAGAGUAUUAUGCUGAUGUGUUUGAUUCCUGUUCUGAAGAGAGUGAGGAGCAGGAAGAAGAAAUCUUGUUCUCAGGACCAGAGCGGGAGGUCAAGGAUGGUUACAGAACAAACCAACAGGACAGUGAUAUCGAAGCUUUGAUCAGGUGUUUGGAAAACGUUCUGAGUUGCACUUCUCUAGACACAAGGACCAUCACCACCAGCGUGGCUGCAGACACGUCCCCAGGAACAGCCGUUGUCAGCAGCGCCUUGGCGGGGACCAAGGUGAAGCGCCUGAGGGAAUUGGCUGUACAGAAGCUGGGAGCAGAAGUCUUUGAGGAAGUCUACACUUACCUCAAGAGAGCAAGGCAUCAGAACACCAGCGAAGCAGAGAUCCAGGAACAUCUAGAAAAAGUGGUGCCUCAGGCCAGUGACUGCUUUGAGGUUGACCAGCUCCUGUACUUUGAGGAACAAUUACUAAUUGCCACAGGGAGAGAGUCUGCAUUCUAGAGCCAUCUCUAAGGAACUUUCAAAAACAACCAGCAGUUGAAGUAGACAAAUUUCUAUGAAAAUCCAGGAAACAAUUCCACCAAACUUUACAGGAAAUGGUUGCUUUCAUAGACUCAAUUAUCAAACCAAGUUUUUUCUCACUCCACAACCAAAGGACCACAAGAUACCUAAAUGACCUCAACUCCUGCAGGGUUCAAGAACUGUGGACAUCACUCUCUAUGUUCUCGCAACUCCCUUACCACUGGAAGGGUGAUGGGACAGCUCAGAUCUUCACUCUGCCUCCUCCCGAAGCUAGUGAAGUCCAUUCUCAUCCCCCUUCCCUGCAUGCAGAGGAAAAGUCCCAGCUAGAAGACUGGGAAACAGGAGCAUGCCAGUGCUUUCACAGCCCCUGUGUCUGGGUCAGGAAAAGCAAGCCUCAAAUACUGGUUCCCAGAUGUAAGAGGUGAAAUUUUUCAGAAUUCUGAGCUUGAGCAUAUUUCCUAAGUCAAAUGCCAAGACCCAUGGCUGUUACCAUGGCUGAAUAUUGAAAAUCAAGUUUGCCCUAGGAAAUCCCUCAGGCUGGUCAACUUUUCUUCACCAUUACAAAACUCUGGAGAGAAGCUAUUUAUGAAGAAGGUUCAUUUUUUGGCUCAUGGUUUUGGAGGUUCACAGUCCAAGAUUGGGUGGCUCCAUUAUUUUGGCCGUCUAAUGAGGUCAGAGCACACAUGGAGGAUGGAUUACAUGAUGAUCCAGGGGACAGAAAGACAGGCUGAAACCGACUCAUGCUUUCUAACAAACCCUUUCACAAGCACUACCUUCUGCAGGUGAGCCCCGAGUGACCAAAGCCCUCCUACGAGACUCACCUCCUGGACAACACAACUGGAUUACGCUUCCACUCUCUUAGUACCAUCACCUUAGGACUUGGGGUUUAAGCAUCUGUCUGAGUGCAGGAGCUGUAUCCUGUCAAAAUCAGCAUUGAUGAGGUAUGGGGCCUGUGACCACCCCACUGGGUGUGGGCAUGGACAUUUCCAUCACACCAACAAGGAAAAGACCUCACCCCAGGAAGAGCUUCCCAGAGCCCCAUGCCCUUUUGGACCAACACUAUUACAAAUGGGACUGGAAGACAGGACCCCAGGAACACUCACUGUAUCACUAGAAUACAAAAUUGCUUGUGUGAGUUCCUGGGUCUAAAGGGGAAAUAGCUAGAUUUUUCCACUAUUUUCCACAGGCAGAUUAAUGUACUCAAGAAACAGUGCUCUACAGUGUAGGUGUUACUAAGAAGACCGGUGCAGACUGACAUCUUACCCUGUGGGACUGUGUGCUGUAUACCACAUCAGACUUUCAGAGUUAAGAAGAAAUAUUAUGUUGGAUCCAUAGCUCCAUACCUCUUGAGAGAAGCUCACGCAAAUGUAUCUUAUUCCCUGGGGUGAAUGUGGGGAAUGAGAUUUAGCAUGACUUCAAAAAAAUUCUUUAUUAUUACUGUUGAGAAAAUACAUCCUCCUUCAGCUAAAGUCUGUCUUAAUUUGGGGCCAUUUCAAUGUAAUAUUAAUAACUAUACAAUUAAUAAAUGAUUUAUUAGCAUAUUAGAGAAUUUAUUAAUUAAUAACUAAUAUUAUAUAUUAAUAUUAAUAACUAAUGAACUGCAAAUAGUGAAAGAAACUGGCUGAGGAGUUAAAAAAAAUUGGACAGGGUCACAAGUGUAAGGGAACGACAGACCUUGCUGCUUUGUGAAAAAUAUCUAUAUUUCACAAAUGCCAAUUGACCUUUCUGCUCUCUAUUUAUGCAGAGGAAAUGCCAUCAGCUAUUUCGGGUGAUGCGGAGAUAAAGCACACAAAGGGGAGUGAUGGAAGUGAAUUAUUCAAUGUCUUCGGGGUUGAGGCAGCAGCAAAAGCUCUAGGUCUAUUAUAAAAGCGUCCAGCCGUCACAGUGGGCUCGGGAUAAAGGAGGCAGACAGAUUAAGCAGCCGCUCAAGCUGGGAAACACUCGGUUCCUCCUUCAAGAUGAUGUGAGAACUAACUGUGGAGCCUGAGAAGUGAGUGGAGUGAGGCCACCGGGUGACGGGUGUGUGGAGGCGGAGGGAGAAGAGCAGGUGUGGACACAGAGUAAAGGAUAUUUUAGAAUGCUUCUGCCUCAACCUGCUGUAAGACAUUGAACUUGAUACUGGAUGACUUGGAUUCUAGACUCCUGCUGUAUUUGUCAACUUUUCAUUACUUAAUUUAAAAUAUCCAAGAGGAGCUUCUUGGGAAGACAAUGGCUAUUUUUGCUCAACAGUUUGGAAGUUCAUAGUUCAAGGUCAGGCAGCCUCAACAGUCUGGCUUGCUAGAGGCUGGCAAAGGCAGAGCAAGCCUGGGGAAAUGGCCACACGGGGAGCCAGGAAGCAGGGAGAAAGGUUAGACAGAACUGGGCUUUAAUAACCAACCCUCUCAAGAUGUUCACCUUCUGAGGGCACGCCCCCAAUGACCUGACGACCUCCCUCCCACCAGGCCUGCUGCAAGUCUUCACACCUAAUCCACCAAACAUCAACACAAAACCUCAGAGUUAAACACCUGUGUGGAUUUAGGGAGGGAAGUCCUGUUCAAGUCAUACUACCUGCCUAUGUCUGCAGAACUAGUAAAAUUCUCUGAUUAAGAGCAGGUGUUCUGGUUCAACAGGUUAAGCUGCAACUUGGGGUGAGCACAUCCCAUAUCAGAUGGGAUCAAGUUCUGCUUCUGCUUCUGGUCCAGCUUCCUGCUAAUGUGCCUCAGAAGCAGCAGAUGAUGGCCCAAGUACGUUGGUUCCUGCCACUCUCAUGGGAGACCUGGACGGAGUUCCAGGCUCCUGGUUUCAGCCCGGCCCACCCUGGCUCUUGUAGACAUUUGAGGAGUGAACCAGUGAAUGGAAGAUUCUCUCUCUUUCUCUCUCUUUCAAAUAAAUUAAGUAAUUAAAAAUAAUGUAAGCUGAAUCUCAUGACAUUGCCAAUGUGCAGAAAUGCUUUAAAUGCUACAAAUUCUCUCCAUUCUGGAGGAGAAAUCACUCACUGUGUUGCCAGGCUACCUGGCCUUCCAUUGGAGAUUGUUUAGUUUUCUAAUAUUCUGCUUUCUUCAUACAAAUGCACCCUGAGCAAAAAACACAUUGAGCCAUUCUCAUCUAGCACUUGACUAGAAAUUAGCUGAGAGCCGGCUAAAGGAUGAGAGAGCCGAGAAGAAAGCAGUUCUGAAAAAGCAAAUGAGUGAGACCAGCUUUGCCUCUACAGAAAAGCUCUGCUCCUUUGACAUUUCAUUAACCUGCUUGUGUAACUCCAAGGUCAUCACCAGAAUGCUUACAUGCUCAGUUCUUCCUUGACUUUGUAAGAAGCUCCAAAAUUUGGUUCAAAAAAUGUAUCUCAUGGGGUCAGCGCUAUGGCAGUGCCGGCAUCCCAUAUGGGCACCGGUUCAAGUCCUAGCUGCUCUACUUCCAAUCCAGCUCCCUGUUAAUGUGAUGGGAAUGCAGCAGAUGGCCCAAGUGCUCAGGCCGCAGCACCCACAAGGGAGACCCAGAUGAAGCGCCAGUUUCCUGACUUUGGCUUGGCCCGGACUGUUGCAGCCAUUUGAAGAGUGAACCAGCAGACGAAAGCUCUCUCUCUCCUUCUCUCUCUGUAACUCUACCUUCCAAAUAAAUGAAUGAAAUCCUUUAAGAAAUGUCCAUGAUAAGGGCCAGUGCUGUGGAGCAGUAAGCUAAGCCCCUGUCUGUGGUGUCAGCAUCCCAUAUGAGCGCUGAUUCCAUACCCCCACUGCUCCUCUUCCAAUCCAGCUCUCUGAUUAUGUCCUGGGAAAGCAAUGGAGGAUGGCCCAAUUCCUUGAGCCCCCUGCCACUCGGGUGGGAGACCCAGAAGUAGCUUUGGCUCCUGGCUAGGGCCUGGCCCAGCCCCGGUCCUUUGGCCACUUUGGGAGUGAAACAGCUGAUGGAAGACCUUUCUGUCUGUCUCUCCCUCUGUCUGUAACUCUAUCUCUCAAAUAAAUAAAGAAUAAAAACAAAAACAAAAACAGUAGAUCACAAAAUAACAUAUUCAUAAAUAUUUAUGAGGAAUAACACAGUAAUUACAUUUAUACUGUGCAACGAUUUGAAUGUCCUCACCAAAAGUCAGCUUGAAAUUUAUUCCCCACUGUGAGGUAUUAAGAGGUGGGACCAGGUGCAACCUUUCCAGAGAGGAUUAUCCA
Molecule: non-coding RNA, 6186 nt
Organism: Oryctolagus cuniculus (rabbit)
Lineage: Eukaryota; Metazoa; Chordata; Mammalia; Lagomorpha; Leporidae
Source: RefSeq, a predicted model, not a curated record